This 474-nucleotide ribosomal RNA is filed under the name uncultured bacterium. RNAcentral describes it as "bacterial SSU rRNA". It matches the Rfam family "Bacterial small subunit ribosomal RNA", at positions 373 to 848 of the family's 1533-position model. The record is from RNAcentral.
GGGCGCAAGCCUGAUCCCAGCCAUGCCGCGUGCAGGAUGACGGUCCUAUGGAUUGUAAACUGCUUUUAUACGAGAAGAAACACUCCUUCGUGAAGGAGCUUGACGGUAUNGUAAGAAUAAGGAUCGGCUAACUCCGUGCCAGCAGCCGCGGUAAUACGGAGGAUCCAAGCGUUAUCCGGAAUCAUUGGGUUUAAAGGGUCCGUAGGCGGUUUAGUAAGUCAGUGGUGAAAGCCCAUCGCUCAACGGUGGAACGGCCAUUGAUACUGCUAGACUUGAAUUAUUAGGAAGUAACUAGAAUAUGUAGUGUAGCGGUGAAAUGCUUAGAGAUUACAUGGAAUACCAAUUGCGAAGGCAGGUUACUACUAAUGGAUUGACGCUGAUGGACGAAAGCGUGGGUAGCGAACAGGAUUAGAUACCCUGGUAGUCCACGCCGUAAACGAUGGAUACUAGCUGUUGGGAGCAAUCUCAGUGGCU